AAGUACUGGUUCACACAGUUCGUUCCUUGGGUGCUCACUCGCUUUCUCUUUCUCCACAGGUAGCGGCGUAAGUACAGUUUUCCUCGGUCUCUCCUCGUGUUACCCACUCUCUCUCCUUUUCUCUCCACAGGUAUCAACUUAGGCACAAUAGCACAGUUAGUUUGCUUUGAAUGGCUCUCACCUCUGGGCUGGACACAGCGUACUGUAAGUACAGGUUCCCUCUGGUUCUCCUUGUGUUACUCACUCUCUCUUUCCUUUCCUCUCCACAGGUAUCAACUUAGGCACAAUAGCACAGUUAGUUUGCUUUGAAUGGCUCUCACCUCUGGGCUGGACACAGCGUACUGUAAGUACAGGUUUCCUCUGUUUCUCCUUGUGUUACUCACUCUCUCUUUCCUUUUCUCUCCACAGGUAUCAACUUGGGCACAAUAGCACAGUUAGUUUGCUUUGAAUGGCUCUCACCUCUGGGCUGGACACAGCGUACUGUAAGUACAGGUUCCCUCUGGUUCUCCUUGUGUUACUCACUCUCUCUUUCCUUUCCUCUCCACAGGUAUCAACUUGGACACAAAGCACAGUUACUCUGCUUUGGAUGGCUUUCACCUCUGGGCUGGACACAGCGUACCAUGCUAUCUCCGGAGAUCUGAAGCACGCUCACAACAUAUACUGUACUGAACUAGGCUAGGACCAGCAGUCUCCUUGUCCUCCCGCGACGAAGUGCGUGAAGGCGGGGGUUUAUCUGACAGGACACACGGCAAUACACAGCAGCCCACAGCAAUAUACAACACCACGUCAAAAUUAUAGGUUUUCACAGCACGAAGACUCACCCACCACACUCAGUGUACGAAAAGGACACCCGUCUUCCUUCACUUCGCUUGG
Cyprinus carpio carpio is the source of this 873-nucleotide long non-coding RNA. Lineage: Eukaryota; Metazoa; Chordata; Actinopteri; Cypriniformes; Cyprinidae. The record is from Ensembl.